ACGGGUGCGGAACACGUACACAACCUUCCUUCAAAUGGGGAAUAGCCCAGGGAAACUUGGAUUAAUACCCCGUAACAUUAUGAAGUGGCAUCACUUUAUAAUUAUAGCUCCGGCGUUUGGAGAUGGGUGUGCGGCUGAUUAGGUAGUUGGCGGGGUAACGGCCCACCAAGCCUGCGAUCAGUAACUGGUGUGAGAGCACGACCAGUCACACGGGCACUGAGACACGGGCCCGACUCCUACGGGAGGCAGCAGUAAGGAAUAUUGGGCAAUGGACGCAAGUCUGACCCAGCCAUGCCGCGUGGAGGAUGAAGGUCCUCUGGAUUGUAAACUUGUUUUCUCUGGGGCGAAAAACAGGUAUUCUUACUUGCUUGACAGUACCAGAGGAAUAAGCACCGGCUAACUCCGUGCCAGCAGCCGCGGUAAUACGGAGGGUGCAAGCGUUAUCCGGAUUCACUGGGUUUAAAGGGUGCGUAGGUGGGCAGGUAAGUCAGCGGUGAAAUCCCCGAGCUUAACUUGGGAACUGCCAUUGAUACUAUCUGUCUUGAAUACCUUGGAGGUGAGCGGAAUAUGUCAUGUAGCGGUG
This 583-nucleotide ribosomal RNA is filed under the name uncultured bacterium. Its description in RNAcentral is "bacterial SSU rRNA". It matches the Rfam family "Bacterial small subunit ribosomal RNA", at positions 102 to 683 of the family's 1533-position model. The record is from RNAcentral.